UACGAAGGGGGCGAGCGUUGUUCGGAUUUACUGGGCGUAAAGGGCGCGCAGGCGGCUAUCCAAGUCAGGCGUGAAAGCCCCGGGCUUAACCUGGGAGGUGCGUCUGGGACUGGGUGGCUAGAGUUCGGGAGAGGAGAGUGGAAUUCCCAGUGUAGAGGUGAAAUGCGUAGAUAUCGGGAGGAACACCUGUGGCGAAAGCGGCUCUCUGGACCACAACUGACGCUGAGGCGCGAAAGCUAGGGGAGCAAACAGG
This 253-nucleotide ribosomal RNA is filed under the name uncultured bacterium. RNAcentral describes it as "partial 16S ribosomal RNA". It matches the Rfam family "Bacterial small subunit ribosomal RNA", at positions 524 to 776 of the family's 1533-position model. The record is from RNAcentral.